GGUGGGAGGAAGUCACAGUAGUAAUCCUACAGCUGGAAGGGGACAGAAGGCAUAUACCUGAACUUAGCCCUGUAUACAUCCAAAGUUCAUACUUUUUUCGUAAACUAAAUAAAAUAUUAUUCCUGAAAUACUGACUCAGGUAUGAGUCUCACCUUUACGUAAUGACUAAGACUUUCAAAGCACUGCUGUGUACAUCACCCCCCCUCAGAGCAGCAGGCUGAGUGGAGGGCUUGUGGGGGCUGCUGGGAGGGUCUGAGUAAUAACGAGGGGUGUUGAAGGUAGGUAGUGGGGCUGUCACCAUUGCCACUUGGUAGAAUUACUCUGCAACAUUACACUGCGCGUGCAAGAAUUAUUUUAAAAGUAAAACCCCGCACUCCUUGCCAGGAGGAACGCAGGCCGGCAGGGAGUGCGGGGGAGCAGGUACCAGGCAGCCCGGCCUUUCCCAGCCAGGCGGAAGGGAACCUCCUGCUUGGGCUCCAGUCUCCAAAGCCAGUGUCCUUGUCUGCCUCACCCGACUGAUGCUCACUCUCCUGAGCUUCUCUCUCCGCUUACAGCGCUACUGCAGGGCCCCUUUUCCAAGUCUGAGCAGGCCAAGGGGACCCCCCUGAAAGCGAGCUGCUGGCUUAAAGGAGGGAGAGGGCAGUUAUCACGAGCUGGCGGCGGUUCCGGCCUGACUUCUGGGGCAGCAUUCCUGCUCUCCGGAUAGCAGGCUGCAAAGGGUAUGAAAAGUGCUCAGUAUCAGUGGCUCGCAGCGAGACAGGAAAUCUCAAGCAGACCCGCCCUUCCUUCCUGCCCUGUGAAGAGCUGAGCUGCAGAACCAACCGCAGGAGCAGCUGGCCUUGAGUCUUGCUGAGAAGAGGACCGAGAGUCCGAGGGGAGAACCUCCAAUUACCCAAGGACUUCCUGCUAGACCCUACCUCUUACAGGUCCACCACCUGCCAACACUUAACGCCCUGGGGAGUAGCCGCUAAUCAGCUGGAUCCUUGGGGAACACCUAAUUUCCAAACCAUAAUUUGGCCAAUAGAACUCACAGAAGCUAGCUUUUCUGUCCUUUGGAUGUAUCCUCAUUGUUUGUGUAUUUCCUUACUUCCCAG
Chinchilla lanigera (long-tailed chinchilla) is the source of this 1094-nucleotide long non-coding RNA. RefSeq lists it as uncharacterized. Lineage: Eukaryota; Metazoa; Chordata; Mammalia; Rodentia; Chinchillidae. The record is from RefSeq and is a predicted model, not a curated record. The transcript is spliced from 3 exons.